UGAGGAAUAUUGGUUAAUCUGCGAAAGCGGGAACCAGCAACGCCGCGUGCACGAUGACGGCCUUCGGGUUGUAAAGUGCUUUUUGAAGGGAUGAGGAAGGACAGUACCUUCAGAAUAAGCCUCGGCUAACUACGUGCCAGCAGCCGCGGUAAAACGUAGGAGGCGAGCGUUAUCCGGAUUUACUGGGCGUAAAGCGUGUGUAGGCGGUUUGAUAAGUUGGAUGUGAAAGCUCCCGGCUCAACUGGGAGAGGUCGUUCAAAACUAUCAGACUAGAGAGUGGUAGAGGGAGGUGGAAUUCCGCGUGUAGUGGUGAAAUGCGUAGAUAUGCGGAGGAACACCAGUGGCGAAAGCGGCCUCCUGGCCCAUUUCUGACGCUCAGACACGAAAGCUAAGGUAGCAAACGG
Molecule: ribosomal RNA, 404 nt
Filed under: uncultured bacterium
Lineage: Bacteria
Description: bacterial SSU rRNA
Rfam family: Bacterial small subunit ribosomal RNA
Source: RNAcentral